This 21-nucleotide microRNA is filed under the name Sarcophilus harrisii (Tasmanian devil). RNAcentral's name for it is "Sha-Mir-490_5p* (star (passenger))". RNAcentral also lists the same sequence under 1 other name. The record is from RNAcentral. Lineage: Eukaryota; Metazoa; Chordata; Mammalia; Dasyuromorphia; Dasyuridae.
CCAUGGAUCUCCAGGUGGGUC